RNAcentral lists this small RNA (112 nucleotides) under Arabidopsis thaliana (thale cress). RNAcentral's name for it is "ATSL150710". The record is from RNAcentral. Lineage: Eukaryota; Viridiplantae; Streptophyta; Magnoliopsida; Brassicales; Brassicaceae.
ACUUACAUUAAUUAUUAAGUGGACAUGUGGCAAAAGCUAAGUGAUGAUGUGUCAUUCAUAUAAAGAGAGUUGGCCAACUUUCAUAUAUAUGAUUACACCACAUAUAGAUAAU